RNAcentral lists this long non-coding RNA (964 nucleotides) under Oryza sativa Indica Group (long-grained rice). RNAcentral describes it as "lncRNA OsMH63_11G002700". The record is from RNAcentral. Lineage: Eukaryota; Viridiplantae; Streptophyta; Magnoliopsida; Poales; Poaceae.
AUGUGCAGCUUGCUCCUCCCUUCCGCCGCGCGGAGGAUGGCCAUGUUGGCGAACGUGAACGCCACCCACUUGAAGCAGCACGCCGCCAUGAACACCUGGUACGCUUCCAGCAACUCCAUGGCCGACGCGCGCUCCGCGGACGCCAGCAGCCGGCGCUCCAGGCUCGCCGCGCCGGUCAGCCGCGCCUCCAGGCCGUCGGCGAACCGCUCGGUGGCGUCCCCUGCCGGCGACGAGUGCCGCUUGAUCUGCUCCAGGAGUUCGCCGGCGCUCCGGCGGUUGCCCGAUGCCACCGCCUGCGCGCACGACAUGAGCAGCUCGCGCAGGUCCACCACCUCCCCCUUGCCCUGCCUCCUCCUCCGCGGCGCCGGCUUCCCGCCCUUCUUCUCCGCCGGGACGCGCGGCGCGUUCGUCUCCCCGUGGAAUGCCUCGUCCUCGUCCCCGUUGAGCAUCAUCUUCUCCAACAUCUCGCCGAUGCCAUCGUCGUCGUCGUCCUCCUCCUCCAGCGUGGCCAUCAGUUUGCUCGCCCUGCCCACCUCGGCCUCCAGCUCGUCCCCGCCAUGCUUACUACCCUUCCGCCCCCUACCAUUGCCGCUCCCCUGCAUCAUCAAGGCAGCAGAAUCCUCCAUGGCUGCACUGUUCAGCUCACCGGCGAUGCCAGAGGAGGAGGAGAGGAUCUGGGCGAACGGCUGUUGCGCCUCGAGGAGGGCGGGGUGGUCGGGGUACAGGCAGAAGAACACGUCGUCGUCCAUGUCCUCCUCCAUGAGAAUUCGCGAGAUGUACGGGAGCACCACAUCGUCGGCCGCCGCGGCUGCUUCGGAUGGCGGCGCGGCUGGCCCCAUGACCUCCAGCAACGCAGCGCCGCAAGAAGACACGACACGAACUCCUCUCACCACCGGAGUGGCAUAUGAUGUACUCGUAAGUGUUUUCCAUGCUUACAUUGGAGACAUCGAUUAGCUCCGCGUAU